AUAAAACAGUCAACACAUUUCUACAGUUGACAUUCGAUUGAUAGAUUGGUCCAGACAUGCAUGUACCCUCCAGAAAAAUGUUCUUAUUGAAAAUAAUCCUGAUUACAACUUUUGUUGUCAUGGUAACUUCAACGAAAUCACAGAUUGGGAAGAAUUUUCAUGACACGAAACGUACGCCAUCCGCAGGUAAAUAUCUUAUUAAAAAUAUAAGGAAACAUAAAUAUAUGUUAAUUCAAGAACAAUAAUGAUUAAAUAAAUAAUUAUGAAACUUAUAAAGAUAAGAUAUACCGUCGUGCUUUAUGACAUACACUUAAGUUAAAAUGACGAGAGAAAAAAACCUGAAGUUGUUAUAUGUUUGUUCUGCAGUUAACAGUAAAUUAACAACUAGUUCAAAAAUUAUGUAAUCGAUAAAUAUUACUGAAUAAUGUACUUUUUUUUAAUAGGGAAAACCACAUAUUAAGCGACAUUAUGUAUCAAUUAUAGUAAUGAUUAACGUAUCUGCAAUACAUACAGUGCACUUUUGAAUGUUCAGUUGAUAUGCAAUAAAAUUGAAAAUGGAAAUGGGGAAUGUGUCAAAGAGACAGCAACCUGACCAUAGAAAAGACAACAGCAGAAGGUCACCAACUGGUUUUCAAUGUAGCGACAAAUUCCCGCAACCGGAGGCGUCCUUCAGCUGGCCCCUAAACAAAUAUAUAGCCGAGUUCAGUGAUAAUUAACGCCAUACUAAAUCAAAUUGUAUACAAGAAACUAAAAUUAAAAAUAAUACAAGACUAACAAAUGCCAGAGGCUCCUGACUUGGGACAGGGGCAAAAAUGCGGUGGGGUUAAACAUGUUUAUGAGUUCUUAACCCUCCCCCUAUACCUCUAUGUUUACUAUUAAAAUUUUGAGAUAAGUAUUAUUUCCUCAUUACAACAGGUGUGGUACCUUUAAUAAGGAAUAAUGUAAACACAGAAAAAGUAAUAGAAAACCGCGAACAAAGCAUUUUUCUAAAUUUCUACCUAAUUGUAUCAUAGAAAAACAUUAAAACAAUAUUACAAUAUGCCUACUACACAAGAAAGAAACUAUUUGUAAGAAUAUAAUAAGUUAAAAUAGUUAAACUUUUUGUUUUCUAUAAUUUCAACUUAAUUGUAUAAACAACGUACGUUUAGUAUGACUAUUGUGGCACAUAACGACGUCACUGUUUAAUGUUGUGAAAUAAUUGUUUUACGUUAUGAUUUUCACAGGAAAUUUUAAGUAUGGGCGAGGGAAUAUGAUUAAUAACUGGUGUCCAGGU
Molecule: long non-coding RNA, 1273 nt
Filed under: Mytilus galloprovincialis (Mediterranean mussel)
Lineage: Eukaryota; Metazoa; Mollusca; Bivalvia; Mytilida; Mytilidae
Source: RNAcentral